GACGAACGCUGGCGGCGUGCUUAACACAUGCCAGUCGAACGCUGAAGCACCAGCUUGCUGGUGUGGAUGAGUGGCGAACGGGUGAGUAAUACGUGAGUAACCUGCCCUUGACUCUGGGAUAAGCCCGGGAAACUGGGUCUAAUACUGGAUGCUACAUGUCACCGCAUGGUGGUGUGUGGAAAGGGUUUACUGGUCUUGGAUGGGCUCACGGCCUAUCAGCUUGUUGGUGAGGUAAUGGCUCACCAAGGCGACGACGGGUAGCCGGCCUGAGAGGGUGACCGGCCACACUGGGACUGAGACAAGGCCCAGACGCCUACGGGAGGCAGCAGUGGGGAUGAUUGCACAAGGGGCGAAAGCCUGAUGCAGCUACGCCGCGUGAGGGAUGACGGCCUUCGGGUUGGAAACCUCGUUCAGCAGGGAAGAAGCCACAAGUGACGGUACCUGCAGAAGAAGCGCCGGCUAACUACGUG
This 470-nucleotide ribosomal RNA is filed under the name uncultured bacterium. RNAcentral describes it as "partial 16S ribosomal RNA". It matches the Rfam family "Bacterial small subunit ribosomal RNA", at positions 28 to 507 of the family's 1533-position model. The record is from RNAcentral.